Molecule: transfer RNA, 72 nt
Filed under: Scleropages formosus (Asian bonytongue)
Lineage: Eukaryota; Metazoa; Chordata; Actinopteri; Osteoglossiformes; Osteoglossidae
Description: tRNA-Pro
Source: RNAcentral
GACUUGUUGCUCUAGCGGAAUGAUUCUCACUUAGGGUGUGAGAGGUCGCAGGCUCAAAUCCCGUACAAGCCC